This is a long non-coding RNA of Hippocampus comes (tiger tail seahorse), 1846 nucleotides long. RefSeq lists it as uncharacterized. NCBI's taxonomy places the organism in Eukaryota, Metazoa, Chordata, Actinopteri, Syngnathiformes, Syngnathidae. The record is from RefSeq and is a predicted model, not a curated record. The transcript is spliced from 3 exons.
GCAAAUGACAAAGAGUGCUGGUGACAGGCAGAGACUUAGCUACAGAGACAGAGGAGACUCCCACCUACAAUAGAAAGCAUAAGGGACCCCAGAACAUCUCGUAGGGAAGCCCCAGAAAUGGGCGGGAUCGGUGGCAUGACAGCCUGCAACCAAGGUAACCCAUACUGGCUAUUAUAAAGUAACCACAGAAAAAUACUCUUUUAUAGCACGUGGAAAAAGAGUUUUUGUACGCCUUUAACUUUUUGCACAUUUUGAAACAUUUUGACAUUUUAUGUGCAAAGCAAACAGAGUAUCAAAUUAAUGUCAAGUGGAAUGAAAAUGAUAGAGGGUUUUCAAAAUUUUAAGUAAAUAUGUCUGAAAAGUGAGGCGGGCAUUUGUAUUCAGCCCCCUGUACAGCUACAGAAACCACAUUUAUACUCUCAGUAUAAAUAUGCCUGUUCUGUGAAGGCCUCGGUACUAGUAUAAUGAAGACCAAGGAGCUAACGAUAAAAGGUCAGGGAUAAAGUUGUGGACACUUUAAGAGAAAACACAUAUCCCAAGUUCAAAAAACAACUCCAUUCAAUCACCCAACAAUGGAGAAAGUAGGCAAAUCUAGCCGGACAUGCCCAUCCAUUUAAACUGGAAGAGUGAGUGAGGAGAGCUCUGGUCAGAAAAGCAGCCAAGAGGCCCGUGGUCCCGCUACCCUUUGGAGGAACUGCAGAAAUCCACUGUUCAGGUGGGAAAAUCUGUCCACAGGACGACUCGAAAUUGUGCACUUGACAAAUCUGGCCUUUAUGAAAGAAUGGCAAGAAGUCGCCCUUGUUAAAAAAAAAAAAGGCCUAAGUUUUAUUUUGUUAUGUAGGGAAAGAAAGUAGUUGGGGCAGGCUGAUGAAAGCCAGUAUUCAACCAAGGCCCCUCCGACCAUCGCGAAACAUUCACACGCGUGUUCAUGUUAGGCUUCAUUCAAGGUCUCAAAUAUUCAUAAAAAUGUUCACCAAAUGUUAGCCAGACAGUGACCAACAGUUUUAUUCUUUUUUCUUAUCGCAAGCAAAUUUAGAACAUGUUCAAAAUACCCUUGUACAUGCAAACGUCUGACGAAUGUCUGCCGACCGUUUGCCGCAUGUAAAGGUGCUAUCGGCAGCUGCAGUUCAAGUAUUGAUGCAGGGGAUCUGAAUACAAAUGCACACCAUGUUUUUAUUUGCUUAAAAUUUUCAAAACUUUCAUUCCCGUUUCACUUGACAAUCAUAUGACAGUUUGUAUGGGUCAAUCACAUAAAGUCUUUGGCUGUAAGGUGCCAAAGCAGGGAAAGCUCAAGCGGUAUGAAUACUUUUUCAAGGUACUGUACACACUCCCCACACACAGUUUCCCAACAUCAUCCAUCUUUGCUGUGAACUUGGAUAACCCAAAAAAACAAACAAACCAAAAAAAAAAUAAAAAAAACCAUCCAUUUACCCUACACCCACAAGUUAAGAGAUUCACGGUCAGGGCUCCAGACUAACUUUUUCAUGGGAGCAUCUUCGCCCCUAACUUCAAAUUGUAGGGACACAAGCAGGACAUUUAGGGGCGUACACUGUAAAUCAAUUAGCAAAGUAAAAAAAAAAAAAAAAAAAAAAAAAGAUAUUUUAUCUUUUUACCGGUAGUCUCUGUUCAAAUGGACCCUCAGUUCUGCACCCACAGAUUUGCAUAUUUGGGAAUUUUUUUCUCAUCUUUUUAAAAUUUGAAAGGUGCUUUGCUUUCGUGUACUCUCCCAUUGGCUACUUAUACUGUAUCUCAUGCACUGUUUUGCUAGUUAACAGCUAAUCAGUGAUAUCAAUUGCCACUAACUGCUCUUAAUUCUUCACAGUUCUACGUUUUUUGUUUUUUUUUU